AGCUUUGCACAGUGGCAGUAUCGUAGCCAAUGAGGUUUAUCCAAGGUGCGAUUAUUGCUAAUUGAAAACUUUUCCCAAUACCCCACCAUGAUGACUUGAAAUAUAGUCAGCAUUGGCAAUUUUUGACAGUUUCUACGGAGA
RNAcentral lists this small nuclear RNA (141 nucleotides) under Prolemur simus (greater bamboo lemur). RNAcentral describes it as "U4 spliceosomal RNA (ENSPSMG00000000019.1)". It matches the Rfam family "U4 spliceosomal RNA". Rfam says of the family: U4 small nuclear RNA (U4 snRNA) is a component of the major U2-dependent spliceosome. The structure of U4 snRNA from yeast and human has been reported. The record is from Rfam by way of RNAcentral. Lineage: Eukaryota; Metazoa; Chordata; Mammalia; Primates; Lemuridae.